This 460-nucleotide ribosomal RNA is filed under the name uncultured bacterium. RNAcentral describes it as "partial 16S ribosomal RNA". It matches the Rfam family "Bacterial small subunit ribosomal RNA", at positions 338 to 795 of the family's 1533-position model. The record is from RNAcentral.
CCUACGGGGAGCAGCAGUGAGGGAUAUUGGUCAAUGGACGAGAGUCUGAACCAGCCAAGUAGCGUGAAGGAAGACUGCCCUAUGGGUUGUAAACUUCUUUUAUAUGGGAAUAAAAUGUUGCACGUGUGGGAUUUUGUAUGUACCAUAUGAGUAAGAGUCGGCUAGCUCCGUGCCAGCAGCCGCGGUAAUACGGAGGAUCCGAGCGUUAUCCGGAUUUAUUGGGUGUAAAGGGAGCGUAGGUGGAUAGUUAAGUCAGUUGUGAAAGUUUGCGGCUCAACCGUGAAAUUGCAGUUGAAACUGGCAGUCUUGAGUACAGUAGAGGUGGGCGGAAUUCGUGGUGUAGCGGUGAAAUGCUUAGAUAUCACGAAGAACUCCGGUUGCGAAGGCAGCUCACUGGACUGCAACUGACACUGAGGCUCGAAAGUGUGGGUAUCAAACAGGAUUAGAUACCCGAGUAGUC